This 435-nucleotide long non-coding RNA is filed under the name Bos taurus (domestic cattle). RNAcentral's name for it is "long non-coding RNA NONBTAT019527". Lineage: Eukaryota; Metazoa; Chordata; Mammalia; Artiodactyla; Bovidae. The record is from RNAcentral.
GGCCUUAAUUUUGUUUUCAUGUGUAGUGUUUAACUGAGGGUCUCCAAGCACUUUAAUUGGACCUGCCUCAUUUUUCUAGGCUUCCUCCAUGCUUUAAUUUUUAUCAACAUUAGCACUCUUUCCACUUUGGCAUUUUGUUCCUUCAGUACAUUGAGCUUCAUCUUUCCUAUCUUACAUUUUGAAGGGUUUUAUGUGCAAACAAAGACAGAUUUUGAAAAAUUAGACAAAUCCCCUCUGUUCCCUUCAGUUUGAUGCCUUUCAUUUGUCUCAUCCUCUAAGUCAAUUUCAUUUUUCUCUUUGAUUAGCCAGCAUCCAUACUUAGCUCUCAUAAUGUACAGCUAGUUGAUAAUUUUCAUCAUAUACUGAAUGUUUCCUACUGUAUAAAAUAUUUCUCCCAAGUUUCAUUUCUGUAUCAGUAUAACCCUGAGAAAUAAC